AUUAGCUUGGAGUGUCUUGAACAUUUUUAUCUUUUUGAUUGUUCAAGAUUUGAGAAGUUCCUAUACAUUGUGGGAAACAUGACUUCAUUGCGGUUACUUUAUUUGGAUGGUACUGCCAUAAAGGAACUACCAACAUCAUUUAAGAGUUUAUGCGGCCUUUCCAUAUUGUCUUUACAUAACUGCAAAAAGCUCUCAAUUUUUCUGAGCAUUAUUGGUAGUUUGUCAUCUCUUAAAAUUCUGGAUGUAUCUGAUUGCCUAGCACUUAGUGGAAUUCAAGACAUGAAUGGUGAGGGGUAUCUGGAACAAUUGUAUAAAGGUGGAACUGCUAUCAAAUUUACAAUGUUUUUCGCAGUGCCAGAGUUUGGUUCGAAUGAUGCUUGCUCUACGCAAUAAAUGUUUAUGACCAAUGAUGACUCUAUUGCGGCCUUCUAUUUUGGUUUUGAUGAAAGAGUCUACUACAUUAGAAGCUUGAAUUAUGAAGAAAGUAAUUUGUAGACAAAAGGCUAUGACGUUGAAACUAAUAGUUUUAAUCCCAAGGUAAUGUGUGGAUCUUCCUUGGGAGCUAAAGUUCGAUAGUGGUUCAACAUGACAAGUUUUGGUUCUCAUGUAACACUUCAAAUCCAUCCAAACUUAGAUAAUAAUAGUAAGUGGGAGGCAUAUGUUCA
Molecule: long non-coding RNA, 665 nt
Organism: Juglans microcarpa x Juglans regia
Lineage: Eukaryota; Viridiplantae; Streptophyta; Magnoliopsida; Fagales; Juglandaceae
Exons: 2
Source: RefSeq, a predicted model, not a curated record